RNAcentral lists this ribosomal RNA (1457 nucleotides) under uncultured bacterium. Its description in RNAcentral is "bacterial SSU rRNA". It matches the Rfam family "Bacterial small subunit ribosomal RNA". The record is from RNAcentral.
AACGAACGCUGGCGGCAUGGAUUAGGCAUGCAAGUUGAACGAACCACUUCGGUGGUGAGUAGCGGAAGGGUGAGGAACGCGUGAGUAAUCUGCCCCCUAGUUGGGAAUAACAGUUGGAAACGACUGCUAAUACCGAAUGUGGCUGCAUUUCCGCAUGGAGAUGCGGCUAAAGAUUUAUCGCUAGGGGAUGAGCUCGCGUCCCAUUAGGUAGUUGGUGAGGUAACGGCUCACCAAGCCGACGAUGGGUAGCUGGUCUGAGAGGAUGGUCAGCCACACUGGGACUGAGACACUGCCCAGACUCCUACGGGAGGCAGCAGUGGGGAAUCUUCCGCAAUGGGCGAAAGCCUGACGGAGCAACGCCGCGUGAGCGAAGACGGCCUUCGGGUUGUAAAGCUCUGUUAUACGGGACGAACGGCUAGUGUGCCAAUACCACAUUAGAGUGACGGUACCGUAAGAGAAAGCCACGGCUAACUACGUGCCAGCAGCCGCGGUAAUACGUAGGUGGCAAGCGUUGUCCGGAAUUAUUGGCGCGUAAGGGCGCGCAGGCGGUUUCAUAAGUCUGUCUUAAAGUGCGGGGCUUAACCCCGUGAGGGGACGGAAACUGUGAGACUGGAGUGUCGGAGAGGAAAGCGGAAUUCCUAGUGUAGCGGUGAAAUGCGUAGAUAUUAGGAGGAACACCAGUGGCGAAAGCGGCUUUCUGGACGACAACUGACGCUGAGGCGCGAAAGCCAGGGGAGCGAACGGGAUUAGAUACCCCGGUAGUCCUGGCCGUAAACGAUGGAUACUAGGUGUAGGGGGUAUCGACCCCUCCUGUGCCGGAGUUAACGCAAUAAGUAUCCCGCCUGGGGAGUACGGCCGCAAGGCGUGAAACUCAAAGGAAUUGACGGGGGCCCGCACAAGCGGUGGAGUAUGUGGUUUAAUUCGACGCAACGCGAAGAACCUUACCAAGCCUUGACAUUGAGUGCUAUCCUCAGAGAUGAGGAGCUCUUCUUCGGAAGACGCGAAAACAGGUGGUGCACGGCUGUCGUCAGCUCGUGUCGUGAGAUGUUGGGUUAAGUCCCGCAACGAGCGCAACCCCUAUCUUCUGUUGCCAGCACGUCAUGGUGGGGACUCAGGAGAGACUGCCGCAGACAAUGCGGAGGAAGGCGGGGAUGACGUCAAGUCAUCAUGCCCCUUAUGGCUUGGGCUACACACGUACUACAAUGGCUCUUAAUAGAGGGAAGCGAAGGAGCGAUCCGGAGCAAACCCCAAAAACAGAGUCCCAGUUCGGAUUGCAGGCUGCAACCCGCCUGCAUGAAGCAGGAAUCGCUAGUAAUCGCAGGUCAGCAUACUGCGGUGAAUACGUUCCCGGGCCUUGUACACACCGCCCGUCACACCACGAAAGUCAUUCACACCCGAAGCCGGUGAGGUAACCUUACGGAGCCAGCCGUCGAAGGUGGGGGCGAUGAUUGGGGUGA